GGAAAUGUAGCUCUAUGGUAGAACAUGUGGCUAGCAUACACAAAGCCCUGGGUUUAAUUCCCAGCACUACCA
This 72-nucleotide transfer RNA is filed under the name Mus musculus (house mouse). It matches the Rfam family "tRNA". Rfam says of the family: Transfer RNA (tRNA) molecules are approximately 80 nucleotides in length. Lineage: Eukaryota; Metazoa; Chordata; Mammalia; Rodentia; Muridae. The record is from Rfam by way of RNAcentral.